AACCGAGAAGAUGGGUACAAACUGCGUUAUUAACCAGGAAGCGUCUGCCACUGGAGCAACUCAUUGUCUUUGAAAUAGGGAGCACACUCGGAUCAUUAAUCAGUUACAAGGCAAACCACUUAAAAGUUACAUUUAGGAGAAACAUUCUUUACAACACGAAUUAAAAUUUAGUGUUACGUGUUGACGUACAUUUUGUCUAACUAGGAGUAGAAAUGCUCCUUGCUGAUUAACGUCUGGAUGUUCGUAACUAUCGGUUGAAGCAGCCCGGCUGCUGUUGAGACGCUGUGCACCAAUAAGGGUCCACAGGUGGCUUGCACAGAAUCAAUGAUGCACUCCCAGAAGGCUGUGCUAGUUAUAGUUUGUGUAAAACAUUCCUUUGUUUCGUGGAGAGAUCGAUAAAUGAAAGAUGUCGUGUCUGCUGAUCUGCUUCAUAGCGAGGAAGUAAUUUUAAGAGCACAUUUGAAAUGCAUUUUUGGUACAGAUUUGUAUUCGGUUACAAGGCAGAGCACAUCUAGUAGAUACGUUCUCCACAACAACACUAAUAAUUUUGCAUGACGUCUUAUAUGUUGGCGAACUAGGAAAAGAAAUGGCCCUUGCCGAUUAACGUCUGGAUGUUCACAACCAUGGGUUGAAGCAAGCCUGACCGCCUGCGGCGCCCCUCAUAACCAUUUUCGGCCUUGGGCCAGGAAAGUCACGAAAAAAGUUGCACACGAACGACGCAAGCACCCGAUGGUCCGUUUUGAAGUUUUAAAAUGAAACAACUUUGAAUUGUAUUAUGUUUUUAAUUAGAUAAUUGUAUUUGUUCAUUAAAAGUUUCUAUAAUUUUACAUCUGAAAGACUUCAUUGAAAA
Petromyzon marinus (sea lamprey) is the source of this 850-nucleotide non-coding RNA. NCBI's taxonomy places the organism in Eukaryota, Metazoa, Chordata, Hyperoartia, Petromyzontiformes, Petromyzontidae. The record is from RefSeq and is a predicted model, not a curated record.